UACGUCGGGGGCAAGCGUUGUCCGGAUUUCUUGGGCGUAAAGAGCGUGUAGGCGGCCAGAUAGGUCUGUUGUGAAAACUCGAGGCUCAACCUCGAGACGCCGAUGGAAACCAUUUGGCUAGAGUCCGGAAGAGGAGAGUGGAAUUCCUGGUGUAGCGGUGAAAUGCGCAGAUAUCAGGAAGAACACCCGUGGCUAAGGCGGCUCUCUAGUACGGUACUGACGCUGAGACGCGAAAGCGUGGGGAGCGAACAGG
Molecule: ribosomal RNA, 253 nt
Filed under: uncultured bacterium
Lineage: Bacteria
Description: partial 16S ribosomal RNA
Rfam family: Bacterial small subunit ribosomal RNA
Source: RNAcentral